This 494-nucleotide ribosomal RNA is filed under the name uncultured bacterium. RNAcentral's name for it is "partial 16S ribosomal RNA". It matches the Rfam family "Bacterial small subunit ribosomal RNA", at positions 30 to 507 of the family's 1533-position model. The record is from RNAcentral.
AUUGAACGCUGGCGGCAUACUUUACACAUGCAAGUCGAACGGCAGCGGGGAGGAGCUUGCUUCUCUGCCGGCGAGUGGCGAACGGGUGAGUAAUACAUCGGAACGUGUCGAGAAGAGGGGGAUAACCACCCGAAAGGGUGGCUAAUACCGCAUAAAUUCUGAGGAAGAAAGCUGGGGACCUGGGAAUAGGCCUAGCGCUUUUUGAGCGGCCGAUGUCGGAUUAGCUAGUUGGUGAGGUAAAGGCUCACCAAGGCGAAGAUCUGUAGCGGGUCUGAGAGGAUGAUCCGCCACACUGGGACUGAGACACGGCCCAGACUCCUACGGGAGGCAGCAGUGGGGAAUUUUGGACAAUGGGGGCAACCCUGAUCCAGCCAUGCCGCGUGUAUGAAGAAGGCCUUAGGGUUGUAAAGUACUUUUGUUAGGGAAGAAAAGUCAGCUGUGAAUAAUGGCUGAUACUGACGGUACCUAAAGAAUAAGCACCGGCUAACUACGUG